RNAcentral lists this transfer RNA (86 nucleotides) under compost metagenome. Its description in RNAcentral is "tRNA-Tyr". It matches the Rfam family "tRNA". Rfam says of the family: Transfer RNA (tRNA) molecules are approximately 80 nucleotides in length. Their secondary structure includes four short double-helical elements and three loops (D, anti-codon, and T loops). Further hydrogen bonds mediate the characteristic L-shaped molecular structure. tRNAs have two regions of fundamental functional importance: the anti-codon, which is responsible for specific mRNA codon recognition, and the 3' end, to which the tRNAs corresponding amino acid is attached (by aminoacyl-tRNA synthetases). tRNAs cope with the degeneracy of the genetic code in two manners: having more than one tRNA (with a specific anti-codon) for a particular amino acid; and 'wobble' base-pairing, i.e. permitting non-standard base-pairing at the 3rd anti-codon position. The record is from RNAcentral.
GGGUGAGUAUACAAGUGGUUCAAAGUUAUCAGAUUGUAAAUCUGACGCCGAUGGCUUCGUAGGUUCGAAUCCUACCUCACCCACCA